UACGUAGGGAGCAAGCGUUGUCCGGAAUCAUUGGGCGUAAAGCGCGCGUAGGCGGCCCUGUAAGUCCGUUGUGAAAGUCAAAGGCUCAACCUUUGAAAGCCGAUGGAUACUGCAGGGCUAGAGUCCGGAAGAGGCGAGUGGAAUUCCUGGUGUAGCGGUGGAAUGCGUAGAGAUCCGGAGGAACACCAGUGGCGAAGGCGGCUGCCUGGGCCUGGCCUGACGCUGAGGCGCGAAAGCGUGGGGAGCAAUCCGG
Molecule: ribosomal RNA, 253 nt
Filed under: uncultured bacterium
Lineage: Bacteria
Description: partial 16S ribosomal RNA
Rfam family: Bacterial small subunit ribosomal RNA
Source: RNAcentral